Molecule: non-coding RNA, 168 nt
Filed under: Clostridium sp.
Lineage: Bacteria; Bacillati; Bacillota; Clostridia; Eubacteriales; Clostridiaceae
Also listed under: 1 other name
Description: Lysine sequence
Rfam family: Lysine riboswitch aptamer
About the family: Riboswitches are metabolite binding domains within certain messenger RNAs that serve as precision sensors for their corresponding targets. Allosteric rearrangement of mRNA structure is mediated by ligand binding, and this results in modulation of gene expression. This family includes riboswitches that sense lysine in a number of genes involved in lysine metabolism, including lysC.
Source: RNAcentral
ACCUGGGGUAGAGGCGCCGUAAUAAAGAGUAAGUAUAAGGAGUUUGCAGACUGUGAUUUAUACUGAAAGGUAUUAUGGCCGAAGAAAUAAAUUAUUGCAGAGAUUUAUUUCUGGGUGCUCAUAAAAUAUGUGAGUAACUGUCACGAAAAGUGUUGAGCUACAAGGUGC